Molecule: long non-coding RNA, 326 nt
Organism: Neogale vison (American mink)
Lineage: Eukaryota; Metazoa; Chordata; Mammalia; Carnivora; Mustelidae
Exons: 3
Source: RefSeq, a predicted model, not a curated record
CAGCAUGGAAUGCAGAUGCAAUGACUAGAGUUGGAGCAAUUUAUUGGACUUGAAGUAAUCUGAAGAAUGAAGAUCACACAAAAUAUAAUACGUUUGGGUAUCAAAAAUAUAAUUGUAAAAUGAAGCAAGGAUCUCUUCUAUCUUUUCACUGAAAAAGUCUAACAUAGGAAAUAAAUUUUGAAGAUUUGGUUAAACUCAUCUAUGUGGUUAUGGUGCCAUGAAUUGGACAAAAUUAAAUUCGUCCUUGGACCCCUGGAACCUCUCCUCCAGGACCCCAGGUGUACGCUUCUGAAGACUUGGUUUCACUCCUGACUGAUUAGGGAUCC